CCCUUUCUCUUUCAGGGUGAUGUGCCCCUGAGCGGCAGUGGACUUGAAACAGCAGGGGUCACCAUCUUUAUUGUUCGGCUGUGCAAUUUGUUUUAGGCACAUUCUAAAUCCAGUCUUAUGCCUCUUGCUUUUUUUUUUAUGUGACAAAGAACUAAGUGGACUCCAUUGUUCAGAAUUUUAGCCUGAAUGUCUUAGUUCUGCCUAGGAGAGAAGCAAGAUGCUCUGGUUUCAAGGAAAUAGCAUACAAUUUGCCAAGUACUCCUUUAGACUCUUCCUGAGAAAUCUCUCUGCCUCUAGGACUAUUCUGCCUGUGCUGACCUUAUUCACAAAGGAUCCAUGUCCCCUUUGUGAUGAAGCUAAGGAAGUGCUGGAGCCUUAUAAAAACAGGUUUAUUUUACAGGAGGUGGACAUCACACUUCCAGAAAACUCUGUUUGGUAUGAGAGGUAUAAAUUUGACAUCCCCGUCUUUCAUUUGAAUGGCGAGUUUCUGAUGAUGCAUCGAGUAAACAUCUCAAAACUUGAAAAACAGCUCCAGAAACUUGAGCAGCAAGGUACUGGAGGCUGAUGAAAGCCCUCGUGAUUUUCCAUCCUCGCUGUCCAGAAGGCAUCUUCCCAAGGAAAUGACCACGGCCUUGUAUUCCUUUUGUCAACUGUCACACAGCCCUAAUAAGCUGAUGCUUUAAAAAGGAGUGGAACAAACACUGAAUUUGAGACUGAAUAUUGCUGAUCUUAGUUACAGUGCUGCUGUCUUCCAGAUGUCUCACCAGAUCAUUCGCAGUAACUCUUUGGCCAAUUUAUCACAGGAAACAGAGGUUUGCUCAGGCACCAGUUUCUAAUCACUGGAACCUGUGCAUGUUACUUUAUAUGC
RNA transcript from Myotis brandtii (Brandt's bat), 868 nucleotides. It is a transcript of the gene named chromosome unknown open reading frame, human C5orf63, with no coding region annotated. Lineage: Eukaryota; Metazoa; Chordata; Mammalia; Chiroptera; Vespertilionidae. The record is from RefSeq and is a predicted model, not a curated record. The transcript is spliced from 7 exons.